Molecule: ribosomal RNA, 253 nt
Filed under: uncultured bacterium
Lineage: Bacteria
Description: partial 16S ribosomal RNA
Rfam family: Bacterial small subunit ribosomal RNA
Source: RNAcentral
UACGUAGGGGGCCAGCGUUGCGCGGAAUUACUGGGCGUAAAGGGUUCGUAGGUGGUGUGGCAAGUUGGGAGUGAAAUCUCUGGGCUUAACCCAGAGGCUGCUUUCAAAACUGCCAUGCUCGAGUGCGAGAGAGGUCAGUGGAAUUGCAGGUGUAGCGGUGAAAUGCGUAGAUAUCUGCAGGAACACCCGUGGCGAAGGCGGCUGACUGGAUCGCAACUGACACUGAGGAACGAAAGCUAGGGGAGCAAACAGG